Molecule: ribosomal RNA, 885 nt
Filed under: uncultured archaeon
Lineage: Archaea
Description: bacterial SSU rRNA
Rfam family: Archaeal small subunit ribosomal RNA
Source: RNAcentral
GGACCUUACUGCUAUCGGGGUGGGACUAAAACAUGCUAGUCGAGCGCCUCCAAGCUAUGGUGAAGGCGCGGCGAACGGCUCAGUAACACGUGGCCAACCUACCCUUAGGACGGAGACAACCCCGGGAAACUGGGGCUAAUCCCUGAUAGGUGAGGACGCCUGGAAUGACCCCUCACCCAAAGGACGUUGAAACCAUGCUUUUCAGCGUUGCCUAAGGAUGGAGCCGCGGCCGAUCAGGUUGUUGGUGGGGCAAAGGCUCACCAAGCCUAUAACCGGUACGGGCCAUGAGAGUGGGAGCCCGGAGAUGGGCACUGAGACAAGGGCCCAGGCCCUACGGGGCGCAGCAGUUGCGAAACCUCCACAAUGCACGAAAGUGUGAUGGGGCUAACCCGAGUGCCGUCCGCUGAGGAUGGCUUUUCUCCGCUGUAAGGAGGCGGAGGAAUAAGGAGAGGGCAAGACUGGUGUCAGCCGCCGCGGUAAUACCAGCUCUCCGAGUGGUAGGGACGAUUAUUGGGCUUAAAGCGUUCGUAGCCGGCCUGGAAAGUCUCUCGUCAAAUCCAGCGACCCAAUCGCUGGGCCGCAGGAGAUACUACUAGGCUUGGGAGCGGGAGAGGCCGACGGUAUUCCCGGGGUAGGAGUGAAAUCCUGUAAUCCCGGGAGGACCACCAGUGGCGAAGGCUGUCGGCUAGAACGCGUCCGACGGUGAGGGACGAAAGCUGGGGGAGCGAACCGGAUUAGAUACCCGGGUAGUCCCAGCUGUAAACGAUGCGGGCUAGGUGUCGGUGUGGCUACGAGCCACUCCGGUGCCGCAGGGAAGCUCUUAAGCCCGCCGCCUGGGAAGUACGGUCGCAAGGCUGAAACUUAAAGGAAUUGGCGGGGGAGCAC